This 794-nucleotide long non-coding RNA is filed under the name Ananas comosus (pineapple). Its description in RNAcentral is "long non-coding RNA (ACOM_LNC021770)". Lineage: Eukaryota; Viridiplantae; Streptophyta; Magnoliopsida; Poales; Bromeliaceae. The record is from RNAcentral.
UUAACCAAAAAGUCCCCAGCACCACCACAACACAUUAUACACAGGUAGGCUACCUCGAUUCACAUAUGAAUCUACCGCCAAUUUGGAUAUCGCAAUGAGUCGGUUACGAUAUAUUUUCUGCGGUUCAACCGGAGAACGCAGAAGCAUAUCCCUGUAUAAUUUUUUCUCAACUUCAUUCUAUUUAUUUUAGAUAGACCUCAAUACCAAACUAAGCCUGACGCUAUUAGAUAGAAUGACGUUGAUGUGUUCUCCAAUACGACUACAUAAAAUAUAUUAUAACGGACUGAUCACAGAAUAUAAUAUUACGUACGGAAACAAACAUGAUAUUUUUCUAUCGUCGUUUCUCACCUCCCGUAACGCAAUCUUCUUGUAAAAAUGAAGUCUUAGUUAAUAUCCAAACGGUCAAGUAUCUAAAUUUUAUAAUAAAAUAGACAUUAAAUAAUUAAAAUUAAAAUAAUUAAAAAAUUAGUAAUAAAAUUAAAAUUUUAAAUUUUAGAUAACCAAAUCAAAAUAAUUUAUAAUUUAAAAAAACUUAGAUACCUUCCUAUUCUUUAUUGUUUUCNUCUUGUAAAAAUGAAGUCUUAGUUAAUAUCCAAACGGUCAAGUAUCUAAAUUUUAUAAUAAAAUAGACAUUAAAUAAUUAAAAUUAAAAUAAUUAUUAUCUUUGUAGAAAAUUAAAAUAAUUAAAAAAUUAGUAAUAAAAUUAAAAUUUUAAAUUUUAGAUAACCAAAUCAAAAUAAUUUAUAAUUUAAAAAAACUUAGAUACCUUCCUAUUCUUUAUUGUUUUCUACUUU